UNACACAUGCAGUCGAGGGGUAUUGGUUUUCGGACCAAGAGACCGGCGCACGGGUGCGUAACGCGUAUGCAAUCUACCUUUUACAGAGGGAUAGCCCAGAGAAAUUUGGAUUAAUACCUCAUAGUAUUACGACUCGGCAUCGAGAUGUAAUUAAAGUCACAACGGUAAAAGAUGAGCAUGCGUCCCAUUAGCUUGUUGGUAAGGUAACGGCUUACCAAGGCAACGAUGGGUAGGGGUCCUGAGAGGGAGAUCCCCCACACUGGUACUGAGACACGGACCAGACUCCUACGGGAGGCAGCAGUGAGGAAUAUUGGUCAAUGGGCGCAAGCCUGAACCAGCCAUGCCGCGUGCAGGAUGAAGCAUCUAUGGUGUGUAAACUGCUUUUGUACGAGAAGAAACACUACUUCGUGAAGUAGCUUGACGGUAUCGUAAGAAUAAGGACCGGCUAACUCCGUGCCAGCAGCCGCGGUAAUACGGAGGGUCCAAGCGUUAUCCGGAAUCAUUGGGUUUAAAGGGUCCGUAGGCGGUUUUGUAAGUCAGUGGUGAAAGCCCAUCGCUCAACGGUGGAACGGCCAUUGAUACUGCAAGACUUGAAUUAUUAGGAAGUAACUAGAAUAUGUAGUGUAGCGGUGAAAUGCUUAGAGAUUACAUGGAAUACCAAUUGCGAANGGCAGGUUANCUACUAAUGGAUUGACGCUGAUGGACGAAAGCGUGGGUAGCGAACAGGAUUAGAUACCCUGGUAGUCCACGCCGUAAACGAUGGAUACUAGCUGUUCGGAGCAAUCUGAGUGGCUAANCGAAAGUGAUAAGUAUCCCACCUGGGGGAGUACGUUCGCAAGAAUGAAACUCAAAGGAAUUGACGGGGGCCCGCACAAGCNGGUGGAGCAUGUGGUUUAAUUCGAUGAUACGCGAGGAACCUUACCAAGGCUUAAAUGUAGAUUGACCGGUUUGGAAACAGAUCUUUCGCAAGACAAUUUACAAGGUGCUGCAUGGUUGUCGUCAGCUCGUGCCGUGAGGUGUCAGGUUAAGUCCUAUAACGAGCGCAACCCCUGUCGUUAGUUGCCAGCGAGUCAUGUCGGGAACUCUAACGAGACUGCCAGUGUAAACUGUGAGGAAGGUGGGGAUGACGUCAAAUCAUCACGGCCCUUACGCCUUGGGCUACACACGUGCUACAAUGGCCGGUACAGAGAGCAGCCACUGGGCGACCAGGAGCGAAUCUAUAAAACCGGUCACAGUUCGGAUCGGAGUCUGCAACUCGACUCCGUGAAGCUGGAAUCGCUAGUAAUCGGAUAUCAGCCAUGAUCCGGUGAANNCGUUCCCGGGCCUUGUACACANNNNNNGNCAAGCCAUGGAAGCUGGGGGUGCCUGAAGUCGNGACCGCAA
This 1383-nucleotide ribosomal RNA is filed under the name uncultured bacterium. RNAcentral's name for it is "16S ribosomal RNA". It matches the Rfam family "Bacterial small subunit ribosomal RNA". The record is from RNAcentral.